Molecule: ribosomal RNA, 251 nt
Filed under: uncultured prokaryote
Description: partial 16S rRNA
Rfam family: Bacterial small subunit ribosomal RNA
Source: RNAcentral
ACGUAGGGUGCGAGCGUUGUCCGGAAUUAUUGGGCGUAAAGAGCUUGUAGGCGGUCUGUCGCGUCUGCUGUGAAAGACCGGGGCUUAACUCCGGUUCUGCAGUGGGUACGGGCAGACUAGAGUGUGGUAGGGGAGACUGGAAUUCCUGGUGUAGCGGUGAAAUGCGCAGAUAUCAGGAGGAACACCGAUGGCGAAGGCAGGUCUCUGGGCCAUUACUGACGCUGAGAAGCGAAAGCAUGGGGAGCGAACAG